ACAUCGGUGGUUCAGUGGUACAAUUCUUGUCUUCCAUGCAGGAGACCUGGGUUUGAUUCCUGACCAAUGCA
RNAcentral lists this transfer RNA (71 nucleotides) under Loxodonta africana (African savanna elephant). It matches the Rfam family "tRNA". Rfam says of the family: Transfer RNA (tRNA) molecules are approximately 80 nucleotides in length. Their secondary structure includes four short double-helical elements and three loops (D, anti-codon, and T loops). Lineage: Eukaryota; Metazoa; Chordata; Mammalia; Proboscidea; Elephantidae. The record is from Rfam by way of RNAcentral.